CCACUGUCCCCAGGACACCAGGUGCAAGAUGACCAAUGGGUGGCCGCAGUGUGUCCAUCAGCGACCGUCAUGUGACAACAUCCACUGUCCCAAGGACACCUCGUGUCACAUGGUCAGUGGGUGGCCACGCUGUGUCCAGACCAAGGUGGCCCCAAGAAGACCUUCCUGUGCUGACCUCCACUGUCCCCAGGACACCAGGUGUCGCAUGGUCAGUGGGUGGCCGCAGUGUGUCCACAAGCGGCCAUCGUGUGACAAUGUCCACUGCCUCAAGGGGACAAUGUGUCACAUGGUCAGUGGGUGGCCGCAGUGUGUCCAGACCAAGACGUCCAUCAGGAGACCUUCCUGUGCUGACCUCCACUGUCCCCAGGACAUCAGGUGCAGGAUGACCAAUGGGUGGCCGCAGUGUGUCCAUCAGCGACCAUCGUGUGAGGAUGUCCAGUGUCCCAAGGACACCUCGUGUCACAUGGUCAGUGGUCAUCCCAGGUGUGUCCAGACCAAGACGUCCACCAGGAGACCUUCCUGUGCUGACCUCCACUGUCCCCAGGACACCAGGUGCAGGAUGACCAAUGGGUGGCCGCAGUGUGUCCAUCAGCGACCGUCCUGCCAGGAUGUCCAGUGCCAGAAGGGGACAAUGUGCCAGAUGACCAAUGGGUGGCCACGCUGUGUCCAGACCAAGGUGUCCACCAGGAGACCUUCCUGUGCUGACCUCCAGUGUCCCCAGGACACCAGGUGCCAGAUGACCAAUGGGUGGCCCCAGUGUGUCCACAAGCGGCCAUCGUGUGACAAUGUCCAGUGCCAGAAGGGGACAAUGUGCCACAUGGUCAGUGGGUGGCCGCAGUGUGUCCAGACCAAGACGUCCAACAGGAGACCUUCCUGUGCUGACCUCCACUGUCCCCAGGACACCAGGUGCAAGAUGACCAAUGGGUGGCCGCAGUGUGUCCAUCAGCGACCGUCAUGUGACAACAUCCACUGUCCCAAGGACACCUCGUGUCACAUGGUCAGUGGGUGGCCACGCUGUGUCCAGACCAAGGUGGCCCCAAGAAGACCUUCCUGUGCUGACCUCCACUGUCCCCAGGACACCAGGUGUCGCAUGGUCAGUGGGUGGCCGCAGUGUGUCCACAAGCGGCCAUCGUGUGACAAUGUCCACUGCCUCAAGGGGACAAUGUGUCACAUGGUCAGUGGGUGGCCGCAGUGUGUCCAGACCAAGAUGUCCAUCAGGAGACCUUCCUGUGCUGACCUCCACUGUCCCCAGGACACCAGGUGCAGGAUGACCAAUGGGUGGCCGCAGUGUGUCCAUCACCAACCAUCGUGUCUCAACAUCCACUGUCCCCAGGACACCUCGUGUCACAUGGUCAGUGGGUGGCCACGCUGUGUCCAGACCAAGGUGGCCCCAAGAAGACCUUCCUGUGCUGACCUCCACUGUCCCCAGGACACCAGGUGCCAGAUGACCAAUGGGUGGCCGCAGUGUGUCCAUCACCCACCAUCGUGUGACAAUGUCCAGUGUCCCCAGGGCACCCUGUGUCAGGUGACCGCUGGGUGGCCGCACUGUGUCCAUCUCCCCCUGCCCUGCCGGGGCCUGCGCUGCCCACGGAGGGUCCGAGAUGUCCCCGCCCUGUCCUGCUCCGACGUCACCUGCGAGCCCGGUGACACCUGCCAGGUGCUGCAGGGCUGGCCCAGGUGUGUCCCCGAGGUGACCUCGUGUGACAACGUCCGGUGUCCACCUGGAUCCACCUGUCAGAUGGACAGAGACACGUCCAGGUGUGUCCCCACAGCACUGACCUGCCAGGACCUGUCGUGCCCACCUGGACACACCUGUAGAAUGGAGAAAUCCACGCCCAGGUGUGUCCCAAAAACUUUAACCUGCCAGGACCUGUCCUGCCCACCUGGAUCCACCUGUCAGAUGGACAGAACCACGCCCAGGUGUGUCCCCAUGGCUCCAACCUGCCAGGACCUGUCAUGUCCACCUGGACACACCUGUCAGAUGGACAGAACCACGCCCAGGUGUGUCCCCAUGGCUCCAACCUGCCAGGACCUCACCUGUCCACCUGGAUCCACCUGUCAGAUGGAGAAAUCCACACCCAGGUGUGUCCCCACAGCACUGACCUGCCAGGACCUGUCGUGCCCACCUGGAUCCACCUGUCAGAUGGACAGAACACACCCAGGUGUGUCCCCCAAACUUCAACCUGCCAGGACCUCACCUGCCCACCUGGAUCCACCUGUCAGAUGGACAGAGACACACCCAGGUGUGUCCCCAUCAACUCCAACCUGCCAGGACCUGUCCUGUCCACCUGGACACACCUGUCAGAUGGAGAAAUCCACGCCCAGGUGUGUCCCCAUCAAGUUGACCUGCCAGGACCUCACCUGCCCACCUGGAUCCACCUGUCAGAUGGACAGAACCACACCCAGGUGUGUCCCCAAAACUCCAACCUGCCAGGACCUCACCUGCCCACCUGGAUCCACCUGUCAGAUGGACAGAACCACGUCCAGGUGUGUCCCCAUCAAGUUGACCUGCCAGGACCUGUCGUGCCCACCUGGAUCCACCUGUCAGAUGGACAGAACCACACCCAGGUGUGUCCCCAUGGCUCCAACCUGCCAGGACCUCACCUGCCCACCUGGAUCCACCUGUCAGAUGGACAGAGACACACCCAGGUGUGUCCCCAUAACUCCAACCUGCCAGGACCUCACCUGCCCACCUGGAUCCACCUGUCAGAUGGACAGAACCACGCCCAGGUGUGUCCCCACAGCACUGACCUGCCAGGACCUGUCGUGUCCACCUGGAUCCACCUGUCAGAUGGAUAGAACCACACCCAGGUGUGUCCCCAAAACUUCAACCUGCCAGGACCUCACCUGCCCACCUGGAUCCACCUGUCAGAUGGACAGAGCCACGCCCAGGUGUGUCCCCACGGCUCUGACCUGCCAGGACCUGUCGUGCCCACCUGGAUCCACCUGUCAGAUGGACAGAGACA
Molecule: long non-coding RNA, 2966 nt
Organism: Cyanistes caeruleus (blue tit)
Lineage: Eukaryota; Metazoa; Chordata; Aves; Passeriformes; Paridae
Source: Ensembl